This is a long non-coding RNA of Felis catus (domestic cat), 5037 nucleotides long. RefSeq lists it as uncharacterized. The record is from RefSeq and is a predicted model, not a curated record. NCBI's taxonomy places the organism in Eukaryota, Metazoa, Chordata, Mammalia, Carnivora, Felidae. The transcript has 2 exons.
AAGGACUGAGCACCAGGUGCUCGUGCGGGGGCAGCGCAUCUGGGACGGCCAUGUGCCCCGUGGGGACGGGACUCCGCGCACUGGCCAUGUCACGUGACCCAGCUAUUCCUACGCGUUCGCCCCAGAGAAACUAAAGUUUGCAUUCACGGCAGCUUUAUUUAGAAUCCCCGAAACCUGGCACCGACCCCAACGCCCGUCAGCAGGCGAUACCUUAAAAACGCAAAAUUCUCACAACCAGCUUCUGCUUGACGGGACCGGUCAUUCUGAUUUGAGUGGAGGUCGCUGCGUCCUGCUCCAAAAAGAGGUCCGGGCAGCUGACAAGGACAUGCCGUGCAUUUGCCCUGAAGCCUCUGGGGGAGGAGGGCCCAUGAAAUACUUAGGAUGUAAGUGAAUCAAACGUCGAGGUGCUACACGGGCCGGGAAGAGCCCUCGCUUCCGUCUGGCCUGUGUGGUCGUCUGGGCCUUGGGAACAGAGCCACCGUCUUGCUUCUUCUGGACAUUCAUGAAGGAAUCUGGCAACGAGUACCCCGCGUGUGGUUCCUGUUGGCUGGGCUUCCUGGAGAUGCCUCCAGGGGUGAGGUUGUGGUUCCCCUCCCCCCCCCACCCCCGUCCUACCCUGGAAGUCCCCACCGUCCUCGCGCAACUGCCUCCACGCUGCCCCCUGCCGUCAGCACGUGUGAAAUGCACCCAGAUCUCAGGAGGCCGAGCUGUGAAAACCUCCACCGCAGAAUCCACGAAAUAGGGCCACAUCCUGAAGCACUGACGUCAUCUUUUGUCUCCCAAGUGGACAUCAAAGUUUGGUUUGAUUUCAGAACUACGUCAUAAUUUGUGGCUCUAUAUGGAGGGAAAAAAAUCCCAAUUGGGGGAAAAAGAGCACAUUCUGGAAGACAAAAGGGUGUGGUAUCAUGUUCCUCGAACCAGGCCGUGCCUGACGGCCAGGAGCACAUGGAACCUCGGGACAAGUGUGUCUGUUCUGCUCACAGACAUGCGAUCGUAAGCGAUAUUUUGACAUGGGACAGCACGCACUGCCACGUGGUUGCAUGGGGAUUCAGGGCACGGCAGCCCUCCCGCGGACCCCCGUGCUCCCGGCCCAUGGGCAUCGCCCAGAGGAUGAGGCAGGUCUGCGUGGGCACAGGAAGGUGUGGGGGAGCCCCGGGCUCGCUCUGGCUGCAGCCCCCAGAACUCGGGAGUUCCCCUCACGCAGGAAGAGGGCUAAUGCCAGGACUGGCCACCCGGGGCCCCCCGCCUCACCCAGUCCAGUCCUCCUGACGCAGCUGAAAAGGCGCCCCCUCCCCAGCCAGGGGUGCUUCGGUCCGGGCUCUGGGUGGUAUGCAUUCCCCGCUGGCUCCACCAAGAGCCAUCUCUUGGCUGUCCUGGGAUGCACCCUAAAAUUGGCCACCACGCCGGGGCACCAGGCAGCUAUGUGGGUGCACACGUAACGCCACAGAGAAUAGGUAUCACUGAGGGCUUCAGUCUCCGAGUCUGGGGCCCGCCACGAGGCUGUGGCUGGUGUUCAUGCCAUCCUGUCCCCAAGACCCAUUUCACGUCCCCCUUCCUUCCCCUCUGCCACUUAGGAGCCCUUGCAGAGGGAGUGGCCCAUACCGUACUCCAAGGGGUCAGAGGGGUACCCUUCCUACGCUGACUUGUGGUGGUCCCCACAGACCCCUGGGGGGUGGGAGGAUGCGCUUCAGGAGGUCCUCGACCCCACACUUAGGCUGCCUUGUCCCCCCGGGUGGCAGCACCCUAAUGGCUAGUCGGUCACCCCAAGGAGCACUUUAGCCCCUUCAGGGGCGUGCACACCCGAGGGUGCUCACAGGCCAUCUCAGCUUCCAGUUCUGGGGGGACCCGAUCGUGCCUCGUGGUGGAACCCUUGCUCCCUUGGUACCGAAACUCCCAUCCCCAGCAGGGCCCAGGCUCCCAGGGGCCGGAACAGCAUGGCCUUCAUGGGACGUCUGGUGUGGCCUUGAAGGUCACUGCAUCCCUCCCUGCCACACACCUGCUCCGUGUCCCCCAGGGCUCUGCCUAGCUGGCCCUGUACCAAGGGCUUGCUAAAGCAUUUUUACCAUGCGGUAAGCCCGCCGGAACCUGAGCACACAGGCAGAACUUACGCCGACUCCUGUCAACCCGAGCCCGCGAGCAGGAGCAGUGUGUGGAAGAGGCCGUGCCUCUUCCUCAAACCCCCAUGAACGGGCCCAGCUGCCCCAUCCGCAGGCCACCUGCUGGUCCAGGAUUGUAGCCAAACCACACACAUCCCAGCCGCUCCCUCGGUGGGCGGGGGGCUUGCCCACAACUGUCCCGUCCCCUCCGGCCAGAGCAAAGCUGCCUUCCCGGUCGGCAGGGCGCCCGGAGUGGAGACGCACCUCGCAAGCACUCCUGCUGCUCGGGCCUGUCCCUGGUCGCCGCCUCGUCCUGACUGCGGGGCGCUGAGCACAAGGCCUUGCCGGCCUGGAGGUUGUGACAGCGGCCAGCGGGGCACACGGUGCACUGGCCUCGCGUCCUUAGUCGGCCUCGGAUUCAGGACCUGGUGAUGCGUGAGCCGCUUGCAGGGGGGCCUGGCCUUGCUCCGAUCUUUGUUGUCCCCCAGCUUGGAGUCUCAGAAUCUCCUCUCUGAGCCCCGAACGGCAGAGACCCGUGUCCUCGGGGGACUCACAAGGGAGCCAUCGCUGUCAGAAACUUUGCACGUUAAACAUGUGCACAUCUUGAGGAAAGGACCUAAAAUCCCAGGAAGGGCCAGUGCCCGCGCCGGGUGGGGGCCGGGUCAGCAGCCCGAGGACCUAAAGCUCUGCCCGCGGCUGCCGAGGGGCACACGGAUGCACAGAAGCUUCCGCCCCGGUGUAAAAGAAAAUGACCGACGGGCGCCUCCACCCUGGGCCAGAGCUGAUGAGCAGAAGCCUCCGGAGACCACGUCUGUGAGGCGGCCAGAGGCACCGGCCUUGGCUCAGCGGCUGGCUCUCCACCGGCCUCGGAGUGGUUUUAUUUGUACGGUGCUGAGGACGCGCGGCUGAAUGGCCAGCCCCACGCCCCCACUGGCCUGGUUCUGGGUGUCCCGGCUGCAAAUGGCCUCGCCCCUUCCCCGGGGACCUGGGAGGGCACGAGCAGCCGAGGUCGCUCCUUCUCCAUGAAGCCUGAGCUCACCUGCGGGGGUUCGUUCUGCACGUGCCUGUUACCAGAUUGCGAACCUUCUGUCUCCAGUUUGUGGGCACUUUUUCUGCACCUGUUGGGCUGAUCCUAUGGUGUGUCUCCUUUGUGCCGUCAAGCACGUGGACUGAUUUUGAAUGUUAAAACAACCUUCCCCUCCUGGCCUGGUUUCUCUCAGUCACUGGGCUCAACCUGCUCGAAUUCAUUUAAGAUUUCGUGUGACGCUCACAGGGAGCACUGGCCGUGGGGUUUGGUACCACGGUUGGCCCCUGCAAGUCACUUGGGUGUGUCCCCUUGUUUGGUUUUUGCAGAGGCAAGAGCUAGAUCAUAUUCAUCUUCCCUGUGACCCCGCAGGGCCUGGAGUUCUCUCCGUGGGGAGGUGUCCGAUUACCGGCUCGAUCUCUGUAAGAGAUACAAGACAUUUCAGGGGUUUUGUGUCUGCUCGUGUCAAUUUUGGCAGGUCCCGUUUUUCAAGGAACUCGUCCGUUUCUUCCAGCAUGACACCGUUAGCGAGGUCCUGUCCACCCUUCUGAUGCCCCGGGGUCUGCAGAGAUGCCCCCUUUCCGCUCCUGAGAGCCAUAGUUGACUGGUGAAGGGUUCCCUUUUCACGUCUCGAUGUGCUGAUCAUUUGCCAGAACUAAGUUUCCGCUUGCUGACUUUCCUCUUCAUUACACGUCUAUGCUCUCACGCGUUUCUGUUCUGUCACCUCCUCCCUUCUGCUCUCCUUCAGUGUAAUCUGCCCUCUCUUCCCUGGCUCCCGGGGGCCGUCCCUUUGCUCCUCCCCACCCUGUCUGUCCGCUGGCCCCACUGCCUCUUCACUCGCACUGGUUUGGGGCUGCGACUGUGUUCUUAGCGUGGAGCGUGCAGGCGCCUGUUUAGACCCGGGGAGGGUAAACCCCGAGGCUGAUGGGAAGGAAGCCUGAAGCUGGAGGUGCCUCCCCGGCGGGUGAGGGACAGGGCGGCCCGGCUGCGAGCCGCUCCUCCAGGCCGGGGGCAGAUCCGAAGCUCGCUCAGAUGAGAGAGAGGCUCCAGCCCUUCCCAGACAGCGAUUAGCUGAGAACGUCGCACACCAAGAACAUCAAAUUUUGAAUAAGCUCAGAAGUGACUCAAAUCCAGUCUGACAGAGGCCAUCCCCUCAGACGUCCUAGAGCAAAAAUAAGAUGUAUGCCACAAGUCUUCAAAACGGCACGAAGCCUUGGGGGUGGGGUGCACUGUGGGGGUUCCGGGGAGUGGAGUCGUGGCUCUGCUCACGCAGCUGGGGGGCAGAGAGAAGGCGCUUUGUGCCUCGUUCACGUGGGCAGACUUCCCUGGGCGCCUCCUGGGUUCUGUCCGAGACCAUCUUCUCUGGGAGGUGGGGCAGUAGGAGGCCUGUUCUCGAGGACGCGAGACUGCCCGUCAGGGAGCUGCGAUGAGUAAAAAUAGCAGAGCUUCUGUUUCUGUAUUUAAUCUUCAACCAUGAGAAAGAAACUAGCCUUUACUAACGCUCAAUAUGCAGACUGGCGGUCCAAUGUGUCAGAGGGUCACACGUCCCAUGUGGCCCCAUCCGCCGAGGCGAGCGGAGGGUGACGGGCACCCGGGCCGGGUCCUCUCCUUCGACGUGACGAGCCACGGUUCACCUGGGGUCUGGUCAGGGAUUUGCGGCUCAUACGGUACAGCUCUGACUAAACUUAGUUCACGUGGUGGACAACUGUGUGGAGGACAGGAGAGGGAGGCGUGGAGAGACAAAAACUGGAAACUAUAAAAGACAGGGGACAAAGCAUAAAUGGUAGUUUUAACAAAUGUGUCCUCUGUGUCCCUGACGGGGGUAAAAUAAGAGCCAAAGAGAUAAUGGCUGAUCAUCUCCCAAAACUGACGAAAAAUACUGAAGUCUAGAUUCAAGAAGCACCCAAGCAGGAAAAU